Long non-coding RNA from Trifolium pratense (red clover), 720 nucleotides. RefSeq lists it as uncharacterized. The record is from RefSeq and is a predicted model, not a curated record. Lineage: Eukaryota; Viridiplantae; Streptophyta; Magnoliopsida; Fabales; Fabaceae. The transcript has 2 exons.
AACUAGUUUUUCUUGUUUUUUAUUAUUUUUAUUUAAAUUUGUGUGUUUUUAAAUUGUUGCCCCUUUCUAUAAUAAAAGGCUAGAAAAAAAAAUAUGAAAGUUGUAUUUGUCUAUUGAUCGAGCUAAACAGACAAACACGAAAAAUUCAUUGACUCUGGUACGUUUAAUAAUGACUAAUUUUUUAAAGUAUUCUUGAAAAUCUAUAAAUUUAAACAAUUAUUUAUCGAAACAAAUAAACGAAAAAUAGAACUUUUGCAACAUAAAGUGGUUAAUAAAUUUUUAUUUGUUGCAAGCUUAGAAGAAAAAAUAUGACAAAAAUUAUUAAAUUUGUUUAUUUAUUAAUCCUCUUUAUUUUCUUAUUUCUCGUUUUACCGGAAGCUAGUGCAGCAAUAGCAAGGUCAAUAAGAUGUAAAGAAGAUUUUCAAUGUCUAUUCUAUAUAUGUACAGCUCCUUAUGUUGGAAAAUGCGUUGAUCGCAGAUGUUAUUGUCGUCCUCCAUUAGAAGAUUGGUAAGAGAUUGAUAUUGCAACCUCAAAAGACGAAGUUUAAAUCUCAAUUGAGACAGAUGUACAAUGAUCAUUAGAAUCACCGUUAUUUAUAAUAAAUUUAUCUUUCCCAAUAUUUUAUUUAAAUGUUUUUUUUCCUAUCAUGACAAUAAAAACAAUGUCACCAUAUGAUUAUAUUAUGUAUGUAUGAAAUAAACUGCACAAAUAUUGUUUUA